AUGAGGUCUCCUCCGAGCCUCCUCUUCUCCGCACUCCAGUCCUCCAUGUCCCUUUGGGGUCCCCAUCUCCUUUUGGGAUCCUCCAUGUCCCACUGGGGUCCCCAUGUCCCAUUGGGGUCCUCCAUGUCCCAUUGGGGUCCUCCUUUUCCCUUUGGGGUCCUCCAUGUCCCAUUGGGGUCCCCAUGUCCCAUUUGGGUCCCCAUCUCCUUUUGGGAUCCUCCAUGUCCCACUGGGGUCCCCAUGUCCCUUUGGGGCCCUCAUUUCCCAUUGGGGCCCUCAUUUCCCAUUGGGUCUCCAUGUCCCUUUUGGGUCCCUAUCUCCUUUUGGGAUCCUCCAUGUCCCACUGGGGUUCCCAUGUCCCACUGUGUUCCUCCAUGUCCCACUGUGUUCCUCCAUGUCCCAUUGGGGUUCCCAUGUAUCAUUGGGUUCCUCCAUGUCCCACUGGGGUCCUCCAUGUCCAUUUGGGGUCCUCCUUUUCCUUUUGGGGCCCCCAUGUCCCAUUGGGUUCCCCCAUGUCCCGCUGGCUCUCCAGCCUACCCAGCCCCCUCUGCAGUCCGUCUCCACCCGCAGGCAGAUCCACACUUCCACCCAACUUGCCGUCAAACUCCCCGAGUUUCCCUCCACGCCCUCAUCAACCAAGAUAUUGAGGAGGACAGACCCCAAACCCGACCCCUGGGGGCCCUGAUCCCCAACGGACCUGAAGGUGCGACCCAAGCAGGACGGCCAUGGCAGGCUGCCCAAAGUGAGCAGGACGCCUCCCAGCAACCCCGACUGCACAGCUGGAAUUUCUUCCUCUCGUCCUUCCAGCCAGCAGGAAGGAUGCUCACAUCCGACCCAAAGCGACGCCCUGCCAGCGGGCUUUUGUCACAUGAGUUCCUUCAUGUCCCAUUGGGUUCCCAUGUCCCAUUGGGUUCCCCAUGUAUCACUGGGGUUCCCAUGUCCCAUUGGGUUCCUCCAUGUCCCAUUGGGGUUCCCAUGUCCCAUUGGGUUCCUCCAUGUCCCAUUGGGUUCCUCCAUGUCCCACUGGGGUCCCCAUGUUCCAUUGUGACAUUGGGGACAAUGGGGACAUUGGGGUCAAUGAGGACAAUGAGGUCAUAGGGAACACUGGGGACAAUGGGGACAUUGGGAACAAUGGGGUCACUAGGGUCAGUGGGAUCAAUGAGGACACCGGGGUCAAUGAGGACAUUGGGACCGCAGCGAACGACAGCCGCCCCUCAGUUGGCUUCAUUUCUUAGAACCCAGCAAAGCGUCAGCGCGUUUCUGAAGUUUAGAAAAACCCUUUCAGAAAUGCCUCGAAUAUGGAAAAAUCGCGGCAAAAUCAGAGCAUCACCAAGGUUGGAAGAGACAUCCGAAAAAUCCUUUCAAAGAUGCCUCAAAUAUGGAAAAAUCGUGGCAUCAAGGUUGGAAGAGAUAUCUGAAAACCCUUUCAGAAAUGCCUCGAAUAUGGAAAAAUCGUGGCAUCAAGGUUGGAAGAGAUAUCUGAAAACCCUUUCAGAAAUGCCUCGAAUAUGGAAAAAUCGUGGCAUCAAGGUUGGAAGAGAUAUCUGAAAACCCUUUCAGAAAUGCCUCGAAUAUGGAAAAAUCGUG
This is a long non-coding RNA of Chrysolophus pictus (golden pheasant), 1587 nucleotides long. The record is from Ensembl. Lineage: Eukaryota; Metazoa; Chordata; Aves; Galliformes; Phasianidae.